Molecule: ribosomal RNA, 433 nt
Filed under: uncultured bacterium
Lineage: Bacteria
Description: partial 16S ribosomal RNA
Rfam family: Bacterial small subunit ribosomal RNA
Source: RNAcentral
AGCGAACGCUGGCGGCAGGCUUAACACAUGCAAGUCGAGCGGGCACUUCGGUGUCAGCGGCCGCCGGGUGAGUAACACCUGGGAACGUACCCUUUGGUUCGGAAUAACGCAGGGAAACUAGCGCUAAUACCGGAUCCGACCUUUUUGGGACAGGCUUGCUGCCGAAGGAUCGGGCCGCGUCCGAUUAGCUAGUCGGUGGGGUGAUGGCCUACCAAGGCGACGAUCAGUAGCUGGUCUGAGAGGAUGAUCAGCCACACUGGGACUGAGACACGGCCCAGACUCCUACGGGAGGCAGCAGUGGGGAAUAUUGGACAAUGGGCGCAAGCCUGAUCCAGCCAUGCCGCGUGAGUGAUGAAGGCCUCAGGGUUGUAAAGCUCUUUUGUCCGGGACGAGAAUGACGGUACCGGAAGAAUAAGCCCCGGCUAACUUCGUG